CGUAGGUGGCAAGCGUUGUCCGGAUUUAUUGGGUUUAAAGGGUGCGCAGGCGGCCCUGUAAGUCAGUGCUGAAAUAUCCCGGCUUAACCGGGAGGGUGGCAUUGAUACUGCAGGGCUUGAGUAAAGUUGAGGUUGGCGGAAUUGACGGUGUAGCGGUGAAAUGCUUAGAUAUCGUCAAGAACACCGAUAGUGAAGACAGCUAACUAAGCUUUAACUGACGCUGAGGCACGAAAGUGUGGGGAUCAAACAGGAUUAGAUACCCUGGUAGUCCACACUGUAAACGUUGAUUACUCGAUGUUGGCGAUACACAGUCAGCGUCUUAGCGCAAGCGAUAAGUAAUCCACCUGGGGAGUACGCCGGCAACGGUG
RNAcentral lists this ribosomal RNA (368 nucleotides) under uncultured organism. Its description in RNAcentral is "bacterial SSU rRNA". It matches the Rfam family "Bacterial small subunit ribosomal RNA", at positions 526 to 896 of the family's 1533-position model. The record is from RNAcentral.